UAUAAAAUUAUUUUCGGAUUCUAUGUUAUUUUUCCUACUAACUCAUUAUCAAUUGACUAAAAUGCAUCGUCAUAGUAAUUGUAACAAAUAAUAUUUUGCCAUGUCUCUUAAAGAGGACAUGGGGUCUGAAAAGGUUAAUUUCAAAUUCAUUAAGUUAAUUUAUUAUUUUUAUCAUACUUUUAGAAUGUACAAGUAAGAUAACUUAACAAUAAACUUUUAAAGAUUAUAGUUGAAUGUAUCAUUCAUUAAAAUUUCAUAUAAUAAUCAAAUAUAUUAUACAACUAUUGCAUUAUUGUUAACAUUAAAUUUAUCAAAUUAUGUAUUUUAAACAGAGCAAAUUCUUCAAAAGUAUGAUAAGUUGGACCGAUACAAAAAUGUUAAAAUAACAUAUAAUGAUCUCAAAUGGAAUGAAAAUUCGAGCAUGUCAUCAGAGGAAGAAAUAGGUAUGUAAUUUGUGAGGUCCAUUCGUUCCAUCUUAGAUUUUUAUGUAUACAUUACAUAUUUGAUACUGGAAAAUUUUAGAACGGCUAGAAAUAAUUUAUGCUUUCGAGAGAGGACGAAACAACGAAAGCACCACUCGAAAAUCUUCGAGUUGACAAUUAUAAAUAUUAUUAUAAGGGAUACCGGUCGUCAAUCACACAUACAUGCCUGAAUGUAAUAGGAGAUAAAACCCCUUUGUCACACAAUAACGCUUCAAAGAAAUAGGACUUGGAAAUAUCAAGCUAAACAGAAAUGGACAAAUUGUAUUAUAUGGGCGAGGGUCUUGUGGUCGAUUCGGUAUGAUUUGAUUAACAUAAGGUACAAACAACAAUUAUAUUUGAAAUUAACGUAUGUGAAUCUGCGCACCUCGAAGACCUACAUGACUUAUUAUGUCAAGACAUAAGAAAUAUAUUCUUAUUUCAAAACACCAACAACAUUUUGCAAAUAAUUUUCAAACAUUUGGAAAUUGGUUUUCAGAAUUUGCAAAUUAUUUCUCUGCCCGCUAUAAACAAAAUAAGACAGGCCAACUUCAUGGAGCCCCCACUUUUGAGCUACAAAUUUCAAAAUGCCACUAACAUUUUACAAAUAAAUCUGAAAACCAAUUUGCAAAUGUUUGCAAAUUAUUUGAAAAUAAGUAUAUGACUUUUAAAAAAAUCGACCAUGGUUGGGGGCCAAAUUCACGCACAUAGAAAAACAUAAUGAUAUAAUUAAUAUUAUUAUAAUAAAGAUUAUAAAUAUUUCGUAUUUCUGCGUAUACCAGUUUAUGUUUAUCUAUAUUUACUAUUAUAUAUAUAUAUAUAUAUACGUUUACAAUACAUAUAAUAUUAUUCCAUUGUUUACCCCUUGGAAUUACCCAUAAACAUACACGGGUCUAUUUCGUAUAAGACCCUCAAACU
Molecule: long non-coding RNA, 1376 nt
Organism: Aphis gossypii (cotton aphid)
Lineage: Eukaryota; Metazoa; Arthropoda; Insecta; Hemiptera; Aphididae
Exons: 4
Source: RefSeq, a predicted model, not a curated record